UAGUUGGAUCUGAGUGUUUAGCGCUUGGUGCAGUUCUGCUGUUACUGAGUGCGGCACAUAAUCGCCAAUAGGUUGCCAUCGUUGCCUUAACUGGUGAUGGUGGUUGACUGUUGGCAUGUUUACUUUGAACAAAUCAGAGUGCUCAAUACGGGCGUUUCGCUUGUAUGGUCGUGCAUGGAAUAAUAGAAUAGGACCUUGGUUCUAUUUUGUUGGUUUUCGGAAUCGAGGUAAUGAUUAAGAGGGACAGACGGGGGCAUUCGUACUGCAACGUGAGANGUGAAAUUCUUGGAUCGUUGCAAGACGAACUACUGCGAAAGCAUUUGCCAAGAAUGUUUUCAUUAAUCAAGAACGAAUGUAAUGGGUUCGAAGGCGAUCAGAUACCGCCCUAGUCAUUACCGUAAACGAUUGUAACUGGGAGCUAGCAGGAGUGCUUUGCGACUCUGCUAGAACCCACCCGGAAACGAUAAGUUUUCGAUAUCCGGGGGAAGUAUACUUGCAAAUGCGAAACUUAAAGGAAUUGACGGAAGGGCACCACCAGGGGUGGAGCCUGCGGCUUAAUUUGACUCAACACGGGGAAACUCAUCCGGUCCGGACACCGUGAGGAUUGACAGAUUGAGAGCUCUUUCUUGAUUUGGUGGGCAGUGGUGCAUGGCCGUUCUUAGUUGGUGGAGUGAUUU
This 677-nucleotide ribosomal RNA is filed under the name Diplolaimelloides environmental sample. RNAcentral describes it as "SSU rRNA". It matches the Rfam family "Eukaryotic small subunit ribosomal RNA", at positions 631 to 1312 of the family's 1831-position model. The record is from RNAcentral. Lineage: Eukaryota; Metazoa; Nematoda; Chromadorea; Monhysterida; Monhysteridae.